GAUGAAGAACGUAGCGAAAUGCGAUAAGUAAUGUGAAUUGCAGAAUUCAGUGAAUCAUCGAAUCUUUGAACGCACCUUGCGCCCUUUGGCUAUUCCGAAGGGCAUGCCUGUUUGAGUAUCAUGAACACCUCAACUCUCGUGGCUUGCCAUGAUGAGCUUGGACUUUGGGGGUUUUGCUGUCCUACGGCCGGCUCCUCUCAAAUGGAUUAGCUUGCCAGUGUUUGGUGGCAUCACAGGUGUGAUAAAUAUCUAUGCUUGUGGUUUUCCACCAGGUAACCUUCAGUGGAUGGAGGUUCGCUGGGGCUCAUAAACGUCUCUCCUCAGUGAGGACAGCUCUUUGAACGUUUGAUCUCAAAUCAGGUAGGACUACCCGCUGAACUUAAGCAUAUCAAUAAGCGGAGGA
This 403-nucleotide unclassified non-coding RNA is filed under the name soil metagenome. RNAcentral describes it as "partial contains 5.8S ribosomal RNA, internal transcribed spacer 2, and large subunit ribosomal RNA". The stretch from base 1 to 121 matches the Rfam family "5.8S ribosomal RNA", at positions 35 to 154 of the family's 154-position model. The record is from RNAcentral.